Ailuropoda melanoleuca (giant panda) is the source of this 565-nucleotide non-coding RNA. Lineage: Eukaryota; Metazoa; Chordata; Mammalia; Carnivora; Ursidae. The record is from the annotation of a RefSeq genome assembly.
AUGUUUGGUCCCUCCCUCUCUCAGAGGAUGAAGAGGGGAAGGGAGAGAUUAGGGGAGGCUCUGUUCAGCUGUGGGGCCACAGACUGCAAGAUCUAUGAUGACCUCCGCCAUGGCCUGGUCCCCUCUCCUCCUCGCCCUCCUCGCUCACUGCACAGGGUCCUGGGCCCAGGCUGUGCUGACUCAGCCACCCUCAGUGUCUGGGUCCCUGGGCCAGAGGGUCACCAUCUCCUGCACUGGGAGUGGCUUCAGCAUCGGAAUUGUUGCUGUGAGCUGGUACCAACAGCUGCCAGGAAAGUCCCCUAAACUCCUCAUCUAUGGUAAUGACAAGAGACCCUCAGGUGUCCCUGACCGAUUUUCUGGCUCCAAGUCUGGCAACUCAGGCUCGCUGACCAUCACUGGGCUCCAGGCUGAGGAUGAGGCUGAUUAUUACUGCCAGUCUGUUGAUUUUAGUCAGGGUGCUCACACAGUCCUCCAGCCCUGUGGGGAAGUGAGACAAAAACCGGCUGCCCCAACAUUAAUGGGGCUGCCUGUGCAUCUCGACUCUGGCUAAGUCAUCUGCUACUUU